Molecule: ribosomal RNA, 433 nt
Filed under: uncultured bacterium
Lineage: Bacteria
Description: partial 16S ribosomal RNA
Rfam family: Bacterial small subunit ribosomal RNA
Source: RNAcentral
AACGAACGCUGGCGGCAGGCCUAACACAUGCAAGUCGAGCGAGGACUGCGGUCCUAGCGCCGGACGGGGGAGUGACGCGUGGGAACGUGCCCUUUACUUCGGAAGAUCGCGGGGAAACUGGGAGGAAUACCGGCGGAGCCCUUGCGGGGAAAGAUUUAUCGGCGAAGGGUCGGCCCGCGUUGGCAUAGUUAGUUGUGGGGGUAAUGGCGUACAAAUGCGUGGUUGCAUAGCGGGUUUGAGAGGAAGAUCCGCGACACUGGGAGUGAGACACGGCCCAGAAUCCUACGGGAUGGAGGAGUGGGGAAUCUUAGACAAUCGGGGAAAUGCUGAUGUACCUAUGCUGGGUGAGCGAUUAAAGCCUUAGGGUUGUAAAGCUCUUUAAGCUGGGACGAUAAUGACGGUACCAGCAGAAGAAGCCCCGGCUAACUCCGUG